RNAcentral lists this long non-coding RNA (1711 nucleotides) under Rattus norvegicus (Norway rat). RNAcentral's name for it is "long non-coding RNA NONRATT024029". Lineage: Eukaryota; Metazoa; Chordata; Mammalia; Rodentia; Muridae. The record is from RNAcentral.
UAGCAUGGACUUGUGCAGCUCCUCACCGUGCCCUUCUGAGAGGUCCUUCACAGUUGUGCUCACCGCAUUCUGUUCCGACUGAUGUCCCUGGCCAGGGGGCGGGCUGUUCUGCAAACAGGAAAAUGAUCUGAAGUAGGAGGAAAGAGUUGUUCUCAGCUCCAAGAGAAGGAUCUUUUCAGAAUUAAUGUUUAGGCAGUAACUUAAAUUCCUUUCCCUCCUUCAGUGGCCUCUUAUUUAAAGCAGCACCCAUUAGCAAGGAUGGCGUCAUGUGCCUGUGCACUUAGAACUAACAUGCAGAGUCCCUAACAACUUGCACUUCUUGUAGGAUUCAGUGUCUCACUUUCCGUUUGCUGCUGUGCCCAGGCACCCACUUCAAGGGGAGAACCUUCAUGAUUGGGUCCCUUAUGCUGUUCUUGGAGAUUAUGUGCCUAUUUGGUGUGCUUAGCCUGAAGCAUGGCUUGGAACUAUCCAGUUGAGGAAGUCAUCCUGAAUUUUACGGGCUAGAAAUUCCCAGAAAAUCGCAAGCUUUGUGUAAUAAAGACAGCUUAGAAAUCCAAGGACAACAUACAUGUUUCAAUCAUUUAAACUGGUUUUAGCUAAGGUAUACUUUGUCUUAUAUCAAAAUAAGAAUUUUGUUGGAACCAAUUCCAUUUUUAAUGGAUUCCUAAUAAAAGUUGUGUCUUAGCACUAUUAACUUUAUUUUCUACAUUGCCAAGAGAAUCAGUGUUUCUUGAAUAUGUCUUUGAAAUUUGUGCAAUAUAUUAAAAAUAGUUGAUUUCUUUGCUUUCAAAUUUAGGAUGAAAUAUUGCCUCAAUCAGUAGAAAAGCAGGGGUGCAUCACCCCUUUCCUUGGAGCCUUUUCUGUUCUCAUAGCCAGCACGACUUCUCUUAACUCAGAUCCUUUGUACAUUGUAAAGUUUAGCACAUGUUGUCACCGCUUUCUGAGGCAUUCUGUAAAGGGUUCAUACUAGAUGGUCAGUUAAAUACACGUUAGCAUAGUUGAAAGCUAGAGCAAGAGUUGAGGGAAUACUUGUGUCUUGUAGACUGGAGGCCUUCUCAGCAGCAAAGGCUGUUGUCUCAGAUGGACAGCAGCUUAACGAACGCCCUUUGAAAACUAUAAGGCAACUUUUGAGGCUUUCUGGUUUACAUAUAUGUCAUGGAGAUUUUUUAUUAUUAUUUUGAAAUGUCUAAGUUUUGAUUAAAGUUUACUCCAAUGUGUUGAUGAUGUAAUCAUAUUUAUUGAAAGGCAAAAUAGAAUGUUUUCAUGUUAAACCUGCCAUUUCCCAAGACUAUUCUUUGCAUUUAACUGCCAGUGCCAUUGUCAAAGUUGUACUUUUUUUAUUAAACACAGUGCUUAAUUUUAAAGUAUUAUGUUGCCAUCAUAGUGUAUAAAAUGUAUAAUUGCCAUUCAUUGUAACUAUUAUUUAUUUUUAAACUAAAGUAUAAGAAAACCUUUUGAUUAAAGAAAUUUGUUAUUAAAUUGUUUUCUCUUUUCUGAUGUAGCAUAAAAACUUCUGAGUUUAACUGCCAACAGAUGACCAACCACAAGUGAACCACUUCUCAGUUGCAGCCUUGCUUAUAGCAGAAACAACUUAUAAACAUUUAGUUUUUUUAUCUAAUCUCUGACUAUUAAAAUGUUUAUAAAGUUUAUUUUUACCAAAGAUAUGCAAUUCAUUAUGAUAAAGUUGCAGAAUAAACAUCAUUUUAUAACA